UGCGUGAUAAUAAUCAGUGAAUAUUUAGUAUAACAUCGUAUACAAUGGCAAUGGCUAAACACAGUACAAAACUACAGCACCAACUGUCAAAAUGUAACAAGAUUUAUGACAGCUUAGCAAACAACAUAAUUUAUACUAAGUGACCCAUAGGUUGAGGAGGCGGUGAUCGUUGCGGUGUAGGUGGAAGCAGCGGAGGAGGAGGAGGAUAAGGUAGCCAACACUGUUUUUUAUCAAAUUUUUUUAAUUGGGGGAGCCCCCAAAAUAUUGGGACAUAUAAAAAAGGCAGCUCUGUUCAGCAGAGUAGCUGUUGACAUAGUUGCGCAGGCACUUUGUUGACUCUAGAGAACCUCGGUCCAAUUGCACAUCCCUGUGAAGGCGACUUUGCAUUUGGAUGUCAUCCAUAUCAACUUUCGAUGCCAGUUUCUGCGCCUACUAUGGUGACCACAGGUAAUGGGGAAUCAGAGUUCCAUUCCAUACAGGGACCCUGAGAAACGGCUACCACAUGCAAGGAAGGCAGCAGGCGCGCAAAUGACCCACUCCCAAUGCGGGAAGGUAGUGACAACAAAUAAAAAUACAGGACUCUUUAUAGGCCCUGUAAUUGUAAUAAGUCCACUUGAAAUCCUUUAACUCUGAUCAAUUGGAGGGAAGUCUGGUGCAGAGCCACUGACCCGUGCGUGCUGCAGCUCAAAC
This is a non-coding RNA of Pelobates cultripes (western spadefoot toad), 690 nucleotides long. Lineage: Eukaryota; Metazoa; Chordata; Amphibia; Anura; Pelobatidae. The record is from the annotation of a GenBank genome assembly.